GCCUAGUUAGCUUAGUUGGUAGCGCGUCUGCCUUGUAAGCGCUAGAUCGCGGGUUCGAUUCCCGCUUAGGGCG
This 73-nucleotide transfer RNA is filed under the name Diaphorina citri (Asian citrus psyllid). It matches the Rfam family "tRNA". Rfam says of the family: Transfer RNA (tRNA) molecules are approximately 80 nucleotides in length. Lineage: Eukaryota; Metazoa; Arthropoda; Insecta; Hemiptera; Psyllidae. The record is from Rfam by way of RNAcentral.